CUAUUAGCUCAGUUGGUCAGAGUAUGCUCCUGAUAAGAGUAUGGUCGUUGGUUCAAGUCCAACA
Molecule: transfer RNA, 64 nt
Filed under: Prototheca zopfii
Lineage: Eukaryota; Viridiplantae; Chlorophyta; Trebouxiophyceae; Chlorellales; Chlorellaceae
Description: tRNA-Ile
Rfam family: tRNA
About the family: Transfer RNA (tRNA) molecules are approximately 80 nucleotides in length. Their secondary structure includes four short double-helical elements and three loops (D, anti-codon, and T loops).
Source: RNAcentral